UGUUGUUUGGGUUAGAAGUUGUUCUAGUUGAUUGCAAAUAUUAAAAGGGGUUCAAGAUUUAAUUGAAGUGAUUUGAGCAAGAUUUGAGUUAAAUUUCAGAAAAGACCCAAUGAAGAAGACUAAGUCAGUUUUUUGUAUAAUCCUGUAUAAUAGUGUAUAUGAGUGUAUAAGCACAUCUUAUACAUUAUUAUAUACUUUUAUACACCUUUAUACAAUCUUCAGUAGAAGAACUUCUUUCACGAUUUUCAGUUGUAAUUCUUAUUCAAAAUCAGUCCAAAUCUCCAUUAAAUGACUCCAAAUUUUAUAUACAACUUCCUUAUAUUAUUUCUAAUAAAUUUAGAUAAUACCCAUUCCAUAAUUCUCACAAAAUUAAAUCUGAAAUUUAAACUCACAUAUUUAAGUUUGUUAAAAUAUAAUCUUCACCAUGUAAGUGGAUUUGGUUUAUUGAAUUAAUAUUUGAUUCACGGUUACUGAUUUGAAAGUUAACUUAAAAGCUAGAGCAAUCUUUUUUUAAAAUUAAAUAGUAAUUUCGAGAAGCUAUUGGAGUUGAAUGUUGAGUAUUAG
RNAcentral lists this long non-coding RNA (564 nucleotides) under Nicotiana benthamiana. RNAcentral's name for it is "long non-coding RNA (NBEN_LNC034131)". Lineage: Eukaryota; Viridiplantae; Streptophyta; Magnoliopsida; Solanales; Solanaceae. The record is from RNAcentral.